AGCAGAGCCUCCAGCCUGCGACAGGGACAACAGCACGAAACUUGUUCCCACUGAGGACAGGGAGGCAACGGAGCAGGCUUCGGGAGUUAUCCCAUGACCUGAGCAAAACUCAGUACUGCCUGCAGCAGGAGUGAGGCUAUGAACAAACCCAUUGUCCUCUGAUGAACCAGGGACCAGGCAGGGUUGACCAGCAUCUACUGAAAUUCACCCAGCAGUAGGGUUGAAUGAACCGGAGUCUGUAAGCACUUACCUUCCCUGGAAGGAUAUAACAAGACAGGGAAGAGUUAGUCACAAUCCCUUUUUAUCCCCGUUUUGUCUUACAUAGUCAAAGGUUUCCAUUUUUUGAAAAUGUUAAUUUUCCUGGCUUAGACUGUAAUAACAAAUAAAAAAAUAA
Pezoporus occidentalis (night parrot) is the source of this 394-nucleotide long non-coding RNA. RefSeq lists it as uncharacterized. NCBI's taxonomy places the organism in Eukaryota, Metazoa, Chordata, Aves, Psittaciformes, Psittacidae. The record is from RefSeq and is a predicted model, not a curated record. The transcript has 2 exons.